RNAcentral lists this non-coding RNA (25 nucleotides) under Cricetulus griseus (Chinese hamster). The record is from RNAcentral. Lineage: Eukaryota; Metazoa; Chordata; Mammalia; Rodentia; Cricetidae.
UAAUAUCGAGGGCAUGUAGGAAAUU